Molecule: ribosomal RNA, 600 nt
Filed under: uncultured Actinomycetes bacterium
Lineage: Bacteria; Bacillati; Actinomycetota; Actinomycetes
Description: bacterial SSU rRNA
Rfam family: Bacterial small subunit ribosomal RNA
Source: RNAcentral
UGAUGCAGCAACGCCGCGUGAGGGACGAAGGCCUUCGGGUUGUAAACCUCUUUUAGCAGGGAAGAAGCGAAAGUGACGGUACCUGCAGAAAAAGCACCGGCUAACUACGUGCCAGCAGCCGCGGUAAUACGUAGGGUGCAAGCGUUGUCCGGAAUUAUUGGGCGUAAAGAGCUCGUAGGCGGUUUGUCGCGUCUGCUGUGAAAAUCCGAGGCUCAACCUCGGACCUGCAGUGGGUACGGGCAAACUAGAGUGCGGUAGGGGAGAUUGGAAUUCCUGGUGUAGCGGUGGAAUGCGCAGAUAUCAGGAGGAACACCAAUGGCGAAGGCAGAUCUCUGGGCCGUAACUGACGCUGAGGAGCGAAAGCGUGGGGAGCGAACAGGAUUAGAUACCCUGGUAGUCCACGCCGUAAACGGUGGGAACUAGAUGUGGGGUCCGUUCCACGGAUUCCGUGUCGCAGCUAACGCAUUAAGUUCCCCGCCUGGGGAGUACGGCCGCAAGGCUAAAACUCAAAGGAAUUGACGGGGGCCCGCACAAGCGGCGGAGCAUGCGGAUUAAUUCGAUGCAACGCGAAGAACCUUACCAAGGCUUGACAUAUAGAGG